GUCGGAAUCUAGGAGGACCAUCUCCUAAGGCUAAAUACUCUCUAGUGACCGAUAGUGAACCAGUACCGUGAGGGAAAGGUGAAAAGUACCCCGGAAGGGGAGUGAAAAAGAACUUGAAACCGUGUGCUUACAAGUAGUCAGAGCCCGUUAAUGGGUGAUGGCGUGCCUUUUGUAGAAUGAACCGGCGAGUUACGAUCUGAUGCAAGGUUAAGCAGCGAAUGUGGAGCCGUAGCGAAAGCGAGUCUGAAUAGGGCGAAUGAGUAUUUGGUCGUAGACCCGAAACCAGGUGAUCUACCCAUGGUCAGGUUGAAGUUCAGGUAACACUGAAUGGAGGACCGAACCGACUUACGUUGAAAAGUGAGCGGAUGAACUGUGGGUAGCGGAGAAAUUCCAAUCGAACUUGGAGAUAGCUGGUUCUCUCCGAAAUAGCUUUAGGGCUAGCCUCAAGUGAUGAUUAUUGGAGGUAGAGCACUGUUUGGACGAGGGGCCCCUCUCGGGUUACCGAAUUCAGACAAACUCCGAAUGCCAAUCAAUUUAACUUGGGAGUCAGAACGUGGGCGAUAAGGUUCAUGUUCGAAAGGGAAACAGCCCAGACCACCAGCUAAGGUCCCAAAAUAUAUGUUAAGUGGAAAAGGAUGUGGCGUUGCCCAGACAACUAGGAUGUUGGCUUAGAAGCAGCCAUCAUUUAAAGAGUGCGUAAUAGCUCACUAGUCGAGUGACGCUGCGCCGAAAAUGUACCGGGGCUAAACAUAUUACCGAAGCUGUGGAUUGUCCUUCGGACAAUGGUAGGAGAGCGUUCUAAGGGCGUUGAAGCAUGAUCGCAAGGACAUGUGGAGCGCUUAGAAGUGAGAAUGCCGGUGUGAGUAGCGAAAGACGGGUGAGAAUCCCGUCCACCGAUUGACUAAGGUUUCCAGAGGAAGGCUCGUCCGCUCUGGGUUAGUCGGGUCCUAAGCUGAGGCCGAUAGGCGUAGGCGAUGGAUAACAGGUUGAUAUUCCUGUACCACCCACUUUCGUUUUAAGCGAUGGGAGGACGCAGUAGGAUAGGCGAAGCGUGCGAUUGGAUGUACGUUCAAGCAGUAAGGCUGAGUGUUAGGCAAAUCCGGCACUCGUCAGGCUGAGCUGUGAUGAGGAGGGGGAAUUGUUCCCCUGAGUCGCUGAUUUCACACUGCCGAGAAAAGGCUCUAGCUAGAAAACGGGUGCCCGUACCGCUAACCGACACAGGUAGUCAAGAUGAGCAUUCUAAGGUGAGCGAGAGAACUCUCGUUAAGGCACUCGUCAAAAUGACCACGUAACUUCGGGAGAAGGGGUGCUCUCUGGGGUGUACGCUCCGUAGAGCCGCAGUGAAUAGGCCCAAGCGACAGUUUAUCAAAAACACA
Molecule: ribosomal RNA, 1376 nt
Filed under: Staphylococcus pettenkoferi
Lineage: Bacteria; Bacillati; Bacillota; Bacilli; Caryophanales; Staphylococcaceae
Description: partial 23S ribosomal RNA
Rfam family: Bacterial large subunit ribosomal RNA
Source: RNAcentral